AUGUUAUAUUAAUAAAAUAAAAAAUACCCAGUCUUUAUACAGGGACCAGAAUAUAAUUGUUGUUGACUCAAUAUUUUUAAUGAUUAUUCACAAUACAUUUUUUUUUAGUAGAACGAACAUUCUUAAAUGAAUGCUUAAAUAUGGUAGGCAUAAUUUCUACUAUAUUGGAACAGAUCGUAAGUAGUGUGCUUUGUUAUGUUCUAGAAUUCUGUAAAAUAUUAACAUCAUUAUUUCCUCUUGUGUUUUAUUAUAAUCAUGUUAAAGUGAAAUCUCUAUUUAUCAAUGUCUUACAAUUAUUACUGAAUAUUUUCUAACAGAUUUUUUUUUUUUUUAAAAUCUUGGUGAAAUGUGAUUUUGUAACAUCUUACUACUUUGAAUAGUGAAUUCCAUAAAAUAAUACAGUUUUUUUUUAUCACCAUCGUUGUGACUUAUAGAGGUUUCACUAUCAAUAGUUGAUUAGUUAUAGAUUGUGGGUACAAGAUAUUAAAUUAGGCAUUUAAUGCAGACCAACAUAUUGAGACUCCUAUCAACAGCAUAGGACUUAGGUCCCCCGGUUCCAAGAUAGUAAGUGUCUUAGGCAAAUGCUCAACUAAACAGUUUACAACAUUUCAAGAAACUUGAUAUAUAAUUUACACAGUUUUCGGAUUAAACUGAUAUGAUUGAAAAGAUGACAACUUCUGGUAUUAUUAUGCAAAGUGAAUACAUGUUGAUUUGCAAAAGUACUUAAUAGUUAGUUCAAAAUGUAUGUCAGACCCCAAUAUGAAUCCAAUCAUUUUACUUUGAAACAAUUGACAAGUUUAUAUUCACACGAGACGGAAGUAACAUAUUUGUGCUCUGCUACCUAUUAACAAAAGUAAUUAAUAUUUCAAGAUAAAAUAUUUUCGGUUCAACAAAUUAAUGAAUUAAAGUACGGAAAAACAUGCAUGGAAUAUUGAAAAAAUAUGAAUAUGAUUUAGAACACUGCAAUUUUAACUCCUGCCUACCACUAAAGAAUACAAUAAGGGUACAACUAUAACACAUGGCAAGUGCACAAUAACUAAUAAGCAUUUUUCAAGUUUUACAUGGCAUCAAGGAGCACCUAUGUUGGGGAAUUCCGAAUGCUGAUUACCGUAAACUGAUGAUUGAUGAGUGAUACAUUGAUAAUGUUCUUGUCUAUGAGCACUGCACAUCGAAGGUGAUAUAUUGCCAUCAAUUAUCAAGAUUCAAGAUCAAAGUACAAAUGGUUUACCUACCUAUAACACAAAAGAUUUUCUGUAAUAAUUUAUUCUGUAUUUUUAAUAGC
This is a long non-coding RNA of Diuraphis noxia (Russian wheat aphid), 1282 nucleotides long. The record is from RefSeq and is a predicted model, not a curated record. NCBI's taxonomy places the organism in Eukaryota, Metazoa, Arthropoda, Insecta, Hemiptera, Aphididae.